Molecule: ribosomal RNA, 468 nt
Filed under: uncultured bacterium
Lineage: Bacteria
Description: partial 16S ribosomal RNA
Rfam family: Bacterial small subunit ribosomal RNA
Source: RNAcentral
GACGAACGCUGGCGGCGUGCUUAACACAUGCAAGUCGAACGGAAAGGCCCUGCUUUUGUGGGGUGCUCGAGUGGCGAACGGGUGAGUAACACGUGAGUAACCUGCCCUUGACUUUGGGAUAACUUCAGGAAACUGGGGCUAAUACCGGAUAGGAGCUCCUGCUGCAUGGUGGGGGUUGGAACGUUUCGGCGGUUGGGGAUGGACUCGCGGCUUAUGAGCUUGUUGGUGGGGUAGUGGCUUACCAAGGCAUUGACGGGUAGCCGGCACGAGAGGGUGACCGGCGACAUUGGGACUGAGGGACGGCCCAGACUGCUACGGGAGGCAGCAGUGGGGAAUAUUGCACAAUGGGCGGAAGCCGGAGGCAGCAACGCCGCGGGCGGGAUGACGGCCUUCGGGUUGAAAACCGCUUUCGCCUGUGACGAAGCGUGAGUGACGGUAAUGGGUAAAGAAGCACCAGCUAACUACGUG